Molecule: ribosomal RNA, 396 nt
Filed under: uncultured bacterium
Lineage: Bacteria
Description: partial 16S ribosomal RNA
Rfam family: Bacterial small subunit ribosomal RNA
Source: RNAcentral
AUACGUAGGGAGCGAGCGUUGUCCGGAAUUACUGGGUGUAAAGGGAGCGUAGGCGGGACUGCAAGUCAGAUGUGAAAUACCGGGGCUUAACCCCGGAGCUGCAUUUGAAACUGUGGUUCUUGAGUGAAGUAGAGGCAAGCGGAAUUCCUGGUGUAGCGGUGAAAUGCGUAGAUAUCAGGAGGAACACCGGUGGCGAAGGCGGCUUGCUGGGCUUUUACUGACGCUGAGGCUCGAAAGCGUGGGUAGCAAGCAGGAUUAGAUACCCUGGUAGUCCACGCUGUAAACGAUGAUUACUAGGUGUGGGGGGACUGACCCCUUCCGUGCCGCAGUUAACACAAUAAGUAAUCCACCUGGGGAGUACGUUCGCAAGAAUGAAACUUAAAGGAAUUGACGGGG